RNAcentral lists this ribosomal RNA (2908 nucleotides) under Candidatus Amulumruptor caecigallinarius. Its description in RNAcentral is "Bacterial large subunit ribosomal RNA". It matches the Rfam family "Bacterial large subunit ribosomal RNA". The record is from RNAcentral. Lineage: Bacteria; Pseudomonadati; Bacteroidota; Bacteroidia; Bacteroidales; Muribaculaceae.
AAGGAGAGAAGGGCACAUGAAGGAUGCCUUGGCUCUCGGAGGCGAAGAAGGACGUGACAAGCUGCGAUAAGCCGCGCCUAGGGGCAAAUACCCGUUACCAAGCGCGGAUUUCCGAAUGGGGCAACCCGGCCGGCGUUAUUGCCGGCCACCCGGCGAAGCCGGGGGCGAACCCGGGGAACUGAAACAUCUAAGUACCCGGAGGAAGAGAAAAUAACAAUGAUUGCGCGAGUAGUGGCGAGCGAAAGCGCAGGAGCCCAAACCGGGCGCGUCGGAAGGCGCGCGCCGGGGUUGUAGGACCGCCGGUGAAGGCGACAGUCCGGACUAGGGGAACGGCGUGGAAACGCCGGCCGCAGAGGGUGAUAGCCCCGUACCCGAAAGUCCGCGGACAGCGCCGAGGCGGCACCUGAGUAGCGCGGGACACGAGGAAUCCUGCGUGAAUCCGCGGGGACCAUCCCGCAAGGCUAAACACUACCGAGAGACCGACAGCGAACCAGUACCGUGAGGGAAAGGUGAAAAGGACCCCGGACAGGGGAGUGAAACAGAUCCUGAAAUCAUGUGCCUACAAGCGGUCGGAGCCACUACGUGUGGUGACGGCGUGCCUUUUGCAUAAUGAACCUACGAGUUGCCGUCGCCGGCGAGGCUAAGGGCGCAUGGAGCCCGGAGCCGGAGCGAAAGCGAGUCCGAAGAGGGCGGUUUUAGUCGGCGGGGGCAGACGCGAAACCGGGUGAUCUACCCUUGGGCAGGAUGAAGGACGGGUAACACCGUCUGGAGGUCCGAACCGGUAGGCGUUGAAAAGCCUUCGGAUGACCUGAGGGUAGGAGUGAAAGGCCAAUCAAACCCGGAGAUAGCUCGUACUCCCCGAAAUGCAUUUAGGUGCAGCCUCGGGACGAGCGCCGCGGAGGUAGAGCGACCGAUAGGAUGCGAGGGCUUCACCGCCUAUCAAGUCCUGACGAACUCCGAAUGCCGCGGCGCGCUUCCCGGGAGUGAGGGCGCGGGUGCUAAGGUCCGCGUCCGAGAGAGGAACAACUCAGACCACCGGCCAAGGCCCCCAAGUGCGGGCUAAGUUGGAGACAAUAACGGAGUGGGGCCGCAGGGACAGCUAGGAUGUUGGCUUGGAAGCAGCCAUUCAUUUGAAGAGUGCGUAACAGCUCACUAGUCGAGCGGCCCCGCAUGGAUAAUAAUCGGGCAUAAGCCCGCCGCCGAAGCCGUGGGAUGCCCCCGUACGGGGACAUCGGUAGGGGAGCAUUCAGGCAGCCGCCGAAGGCGGGGCGCGAGCCCAUCUGGAGGCACCUGAAAAGCAAAUGUAGGUAUAAGUAACGACAAGGGGGGCGCGAACCCCCCCCGCCGUAAGACCAAGGGUUCCUGAUCAACGCUAAUCGGAUCAGGGUAAGUCGGGGCCUAAGGGUAAGCCGCACGGCGAUCCCGAUGGACAGCCGGUCAAGAUUCCGGCACCCGGCCCGCGGGCGACGCGGCGACGGAGAAGUGGAAACCCCGCGCGCUGACGGAAUAGCGCGUUGAAGCGAGGUAGGCGUUAACGGGCGGCAGGCAAAUCCGCCGUCCGGCCGAGACGCGACAGUACCGCGAGCCCCCCGGGGCAAGCGGACAGCGGGCGGAAACAUGCUCCCGAGAAAAACCGCUAAGCAUUCAACCGCGGUGCCGGCCCGUACCGCAAACCGACACAGGUGGUCGGGUAGAACAUACCAAGGCGCUCGAGAGAUUCACGGUCAAGGAACUAGGCAAACUGGCCCCGUAACUUCGGGAAAAGGGGUCCCCUCCUUCGCGGGAGGGGCGCAGAGAAUAGGUCCAGGCAACUGUUUAACAAAAACACAGGGCUGUGCUAAGUUGAAAGACGAAGUAUACAGCCUGACACCUGCCCGGUGCCGGAAGGUUAAGAGGAGUGGUCACCGCGAGGGAAGCCCCGAAUUGAAGCCCCGGUAAACGGCGGCCGUAACUAUAACGGUCCUAAGGUAGCGAAAUUCCUUGUCGGGUAAGUUCCGACCUGCACGAAUGGUGUAACGAUCUGGGCACUGUCUCAACCGUGAGCUCGGUGAAAUUGUAGUAUCGGUGAAGAUGCCGAUUACCCGCAACGGGACGGAAAGACCCCGUGAACCUUUACUGCAGCUUAGCACUGCGACCGGGUGGACGAUGUGUAGGAUAGCCAGGAGGCUAUGAUGCGGGGGCGCCAGUCCCCGCGGAGCCGCCGUUGAAAUACUGGCCUUCGUCCAUCUGGUUCCUAACCCCCGUGCAGGGGGGACACUGCUUGGCGGGUAGUUUGACUGGGGUGGUCGCCUCCAAAAGCGUAACGGAGGCUUCUAAAGGUGCGCUCAGGCCGAUUGGUAACCGGCCGCAGAGUGUAAUGGCACAAGCGCGCUUGACUGGGAGGCCGACAAGCCGAUCAGGUAGGAAACUAGAGCAUAGUGAUCCGGCGGUACCGCAUGGAAGGGCCGUCGCUCAAAGGAUAAAAGGUACUCCGGGGAUAACAGGCUGAUCCCUCCCAAGAGCUCAUAUCGACGGAGUGGUUUGGCACCUCGAUGUCGGCUCGUCACAUCCUGGGGCUGGAGAAGGUCCCAAGGGUUGGGCUGUUCGCCCAUUAAAGUGGCACGCGAGCUGGGUUCAGAACGUCGUGAGACAGUUCGGUCCCUAUCUGUUGUGGGCGCGGGACAUCUGAUGAGACCCGACACUAGUACGAGAGGACCGUGUCGGACAGACCUCCGGUGCGCCGGUUGUCCCGCCAGGGGCACCGCCGGGUAGCCGCGUCUGGCCGGGAUAAGUGCUGAAAGCAUCUAAGCACGAAGCCCCCUCAGAGAUAAGAUGUCCGAUUUGGAGGGCCGUCGGAGACGACGACGUCGAUAGGCGGCAGGUGCAGGGGCUGCGAGGCCCACAGCCGAGCCGUACUAAUAGCCCGAAC